Molecule: long non-coding RNA, 1887 nt
Organism: Macaca mulatta (Rhesus monkey)
Lineage: Eukaryota; Metazoa; Chordata; Mammalia; Primates; Cercopithecidae
Source: Ensembl
CCACUCCUAAAUCCAUGCAAUGAUUCUAUGGAUUUUUGGAUGGCCACCUGAAGACUAAAGCUGGUUUUCCCUUUUGUGGUGCUGGCCUUCAUCAGUGUAGGUAAUUAUCAUUUGUUUAUUCUCUAAUUCACUCAUUCAUUUGACAGGCACUGACUGAGUGCCUCCUGGAUGACUAAUAUUGUGCUGAAUUAAUCCUUAGUGACUGUAUCAUUUAAUGAGGAAGACAAAUAAAUAAGUGUUUUGGUGCUAUGAAAAGAGUCUGCCCAGAGCACAGAGGAGAUACAAAAUGAAGCUGUUGAUUCUGCCUGCAGGAACAGGAAUUGCUUUAUGAAGGUGUCACAGAAAUUACAGCUGAAUCUUGGAAGGCUUUCCUGCAGACUGGAUACUUUUUUAGGGCAUACGCCACAGGAUCGUGACUUCAAUUUUAAAUCCAAGGUACAGUGGUCUGGUGAAAUUAAUAUUCUCAAUCUGAAUCUAGAUUUAUAUAGUAUUUACUCUUAAAAUUUAGCAGUGGUCUACCUUUGUUUUAUGUACAUGAUAUAAAUUUGGUUAGAGAAAAACAUUUUAUAGAAAUAUGACUAGGUAAAUUUUUUUUUUUUAAUUUGGUAAAUAAGAGAAAACUGAUAGAGGGAACGGGAACUGAAAAAAAGAAUGGGUUGGAAAAACACAUAACGGCAGGAAAAUUUUAUUACCAAAAGCUUCCCCAUGAUAGAGGAGAUGUGAAAUUUGGUCACAGUUUAUUGGGAUAAUGAUCCUUACUGUGAGUUUUAAACCGUACUAACUGACAUUUUUUUUUUUUUUAAUGGAGUCUUGCUCUGUAGCCCAGGCUGGAGUGCAGUGGUGCAAUCUUGGCUUACUGCAACUGCUGCCUCCUGGGUCCUGGUUCAAGCGAUUCUCCUGCCUCAGCCUCCUGAGUAGCUGAGAUUACAGGCACAUGCCAUCAAGGCUAGCUAAUUUUUGUAUUUUUAGUAGAGACAGGGUUUCACCACGUUGGCCAGGUUGGUCUUGAACUUCUGACCUCGUGAUCUACCCUCCUUGGCCUUCCAAAGUGCUGGGAUUACAGGCAUGAGCCACCAUGCUCAGUCUAGACGGUACUAAUAUCUACCUCUUAGGUAUGCAUAAUGAACAAAUGUGGUAAAAAAUGUGAAAACAUUUUGUAAACUAGAAUGUGUGUGUACAAAUAUGAGAUAAAAUGAAUCACAGUGGGAUUCAGUGCCUUAAUAAAUAUUGCGAGUCUUUUUUUUUUUUUUUACCCGUAGUCAGUACUGUCAAGAGAACAAUGAAGAAGUAUAGCAUUAGGUCUGUGGAUUUCCAGUCUGGGGUAGGUUAAGUUUUAGCGGUCUAAUACUGGUGACAUCCUAUGGGAAUUGAGUGAUUUGUCAUCCAAGACCUCCUGAUAAGAUUGUAAAUGUUUUGGCCUUGAAUAAAUUUCUGUGAUUGUGUCCUGACUUUGUGCUAGGCAGUAAGAUACUGAAUACACAAGAUGAGGCCAUAUACUAGAGUAGUAGAAACACCAAAACAAGGAAACAACAAACACAUAAGUCACUAUGAGUGCUUCCUGUAAAGAAAACAGAGAACGUUGUAUUACAGAAAAUUGAGGAAGUUUGUAGUUAGGCCUGGGAUGGGAGUGGGAGUGAAACAGUGUAUUCAGAGAAGAUCUUUUUGGGUGCUAUUUAAGCUGCCAGCUAGAGGCUGAGAAGGAGCAAGACACAUGAAAUUCUGAAAGAAGGAUAUUCUGGACAGAGGGGAAAAUGGAUGACAAUUAUUCAUCAUUUUGCCUUUCACACCCUGGAAUGACCAGGAAGCAGGAAGUGGGAUAAUCAUCAUCAUCAUCCUUUUUAAUAAAAUGUGUAGAAAAGAAAAUGUCCAAAUGAGAAUCUGGAACAU